CGACCUUUACUAUAAAAUAAUAACUUGAUAAAACAAAGUUCGGCUUUGUAAUGGGUGGACUUAAAUAUUCAGACGGAGAGAAAUUUUUAUUGGUCAUAUGUGUAAUAAAAAUAUCCAAAAAUAAUCUUAAAAUCAGUCAAGACAUGGCGUAGCAAACCUAUCUAUACAGUAAAAUAGCAAAUCAUAUCAGUGACAGCAAAGGCAAAACAAAAAGCAAAAUAAUAAUGAAAUAUCAAUGAACAAGAUCCAACAAAGAAGAAAACAACAAAAAUAAAUGAUCAUAGUAAUUGGAGAAGAAAAAAGUCCUAAACAGUGAUGGUGUUGAUGUUGCUUCAACGGCAUUCACCGGAGCAACGUCUGGGAUCGCAAAAGUCAGGCCAGAUCUGGGCAUGUUGGUGAGACAGUGGAGAUAAAAUGAAAAACAUAGUGGUGGCAGCGGUUUCUUCGCCGGUUGUCAACUCCGACGAAGAAACAACGGAAAGGAGAAAAAGGCGGCGGCACUGGUGUGCUUAGCGGCUGGACAUCCUGUCGGUGACCAAUUCCGGCGCGGUGAAAAAGGGGAAAGGAAAGAGGGGCGCUGCUGGCUGUUGGUCUUUCCGCUGGUGGAGCUCCGAUGAUGGUUCACGGAGAUGAUGGGGAGAAGAGGACGGUGAUAAUGGUGUUUUGCCGGCGAUGCAGCUCGCCGGAGCAGCGGCGUCAUUGGUUGGUGGUUUCUAGAGAAAAAAAAAGGACAUAAUAUAUAAAUAUGACCCUAAAUUUGACACUAAAUUAUAAUUUUGACCUUAAAUUUUGACAAUGCACAAAUAGAAAUUUUAACUAUUCAAAAUUGGAAUAAAUAUAACUUCUGAUUUUGCAAACCCCAUGUGUGAGUUUCCCUUGCACCUACGUGAAAACGUAAGUCAAUCACACGGUGCUACAUCAUUAAAAGAGCUGACAUGGCAUGAUGAUGCAGUUUCAAUUAAAACGACGUUAUUUUGCUUCUAUAAGUCAAGACGAGGUCG
RNAcentral lists this long non-coding RNA (1001 nucleotides) under Capsicum annuum. RNAcentral's name for it is "long non-coding RNA (CANN_LNC004816)". Lineage: Eukaryota; Viridiplantae; Streptophyta; Magnoliopsida; Solanales; Solanaceae. The record is from RNAcentral.